CAGGGGAUAGUUUAAUUAAAAAUACUAGUUUUGGAGAUUAGUGAUGAGAGUUUCUUUUCCUUGA
RNAcentral lists this transfer RNA (64 nucleotides) under Glyptotermes sp. Its description in RNAcentral is "tRNA-Pro". Lineage: Eukaryota; Metazoa; Arthropoda; Insecta; Blattodea; Kalotermitidae. The record is from RNAcentral. RNAcentral also lists the same sequence under 1 other name.